Dietzia timorensis is the source of this 376-nucleotide non-coding RNA. The record is from Rfam. NCBI's taxonomy places the organism in Bacteria, Bacillati, Actinomycetota, Actinomycetes, Mycobacteriales, Dietziaceae.
GGGGCUGAUGUGGUUUCGACUGUGUGAGUUGACGUAGGGGAAGCGUGCCGGUGCAGGCCAGAGACCACCGUUAAGCGUCAUGGCAACCAAUUAAGCGCCGAUAACAAUCAGCGCGACUUCGCACUCGCUGCCUAAUCAGCGACUGCAAGUCUGUCAGCCCGGGGUCGCCCUCGCCCCGGUUCCUGGCAUCAGCUAGAGGGAUUACCGUUCGAGUUGGUCACGGGCUCGUUCGGGACAUCUCACAGUGACUGGGAUCGCCUUCGCCGACUAGUUCGCGGGUUGGCGAGAUCCGAGUAACGGCAGUUAGCGAACUGCGCACGGAGAAGCCCUACCGAUGCUGCACAGGACCGGGGUUCAAUUCCCCGCAGCUCCACCG